GAUGAACGCUAGGCGGGAGGCUUAACACAUGCAAGUCGAGGGGUAAAUGGUAGCAAUACUAUGAGACCGGCGGACGGGUGCGUAACGCGUAUGCAACAUUACCUUGUGCAGGGGGAUAGCCCGUGGAAACGCGGAAUUAAUAUUCCAUAGUCCAGCUAUAUCGCAGUGGUAUAGUUGGUAAAGAUUUAUCGGCACAAGUUUGGCAUGCGUCUGAUUAGCUUGUUGGUAGGGUAACGGCCUACCAAGGCUACGAUCAGUAGGGGUUCUGAGAGGAUUAACCCCCACACUGGUACUGAGACACGGACCAGACUCCUACGGGAGGCAGCAGUGAGGAAUAUUGGUCAAUGGGCGGAAGCCUGAACCAGCCAUCCCGCGUGAAGGAAGACAGCCUUACGGGUUGUAAACUUCUUUUCUGUCAGAAGAAUAAGCUUGUCGAGACGAGUGAUGCCGGUAUGACAGGAAUAAGCAUCGGCUAACUCCGUG
RNAcentral lists this ribosomal RNA (483 nucleotides) under uncultured bacterium. Its description in RNAcentral is "bacterial SSU rRNA". It matches the Rfam family "Bacterial small subunit ribosomal RNA", at positions 28 to 507 of the family's 1533-position model. The record is from RNAcentral.